This 22-nucleotide non-coding RNA is filed under the name Arabidopsis thaliana (thale cress). The record is from RNAcentral. Lineage: Eukaryota; Viridiplantae; Streptophyta; Magnoliopsida; Brassicales; Brassicaceae.
GUACGUGUGCUAGUAGUGUACA